AGCGGUAACAGAUCGCUGUGAUCCUUUCGGGGUGAACUUGAUGCUGACGAGCGGCGGACGGGUGAGUAACGCGUAGGAAUCUGCCCAGUAGAGGGGGAUAGCCCGAGGAAACUCGGAUUAAUACCGCAUACGCCCUACGGGGGAAAGCAGGGGAUCUUCGGACCUUGCGCUAUUGGAUGAGCCUGCGUUGGAUUAGCUAGUUGGUAGGGUAAAGGCCUACCAAGGCGACGAUCCAUAGCUGGUCUGAGAGGAUGAUCAGUCACACUGGAACUGAGACACGGUCCAGACUCCUACGGGAGGCAGCAGUCGGGAAUAUUGGACAAUGGGGGCAACCCUGAUCCAGCCAUGCCGCGUGUGUGAAGAAGGCCUUCGGGUUGUAAAGCACUUUCAGUAGGGAGGAAGGGUUAAGUGUUAAUAGCACUUAGCAUUGACGUUACCUACAGAAGCAGCACCGGCUAACUCCGUGCCAGCAGCCGCGGCAAUACGGAGGGUGCAAGCGUUAAUCGGAAUUACUGGGCGUAAAGCGCGCGUAGGCGGUUUGGUCAGUUGGAUGUGAAAGCCCAGGGCUUAACCUUGGAACUGCAUUCAAUACUGCCAGGCUAGAGUACGGUAGAGGGGGGUAGAAUUCCACGUGUAGCGGUGAAAUGCGUAGAGAUGUGGAGGAAUACCAGUGGCGAAGGCGGCCCCCUGGAUCGAUACUGACGCUGAGGUGCGAAAGCGUGGGGAGCAAACAGGAUUAGAUACCCUGGUAGUCCACGCUGUAAACGAUGUCAACUAGCCGUUGGAAGGGUAAUCCUUUUA
RNAcentral lists this ribosomal RNA (801 nucleotides) under uncultured bacterium. Its description in RNAcentral is "bacterial SSU rRNA". It matches the Rfam family "Bacterial small subunit ribosomal RNA", at positions 65 to 842 of the family's 1533-position model. The record is from RNAcentral.